CUGUACCUCGCUAGAAAGCACCUGCUAACUACGUGCCAGAAGCAUCGGUAAUACGUAGGGUGCAAGCGUUAUCCGGAUUUACUGGGCGUAAAGGGUUCCGUCGGCGUCCUGAUAAGUUUCUUGUUUAAGCCUGAGGCUUAACUUCAGACGAGCAAGAAAAACUGUCAGGAUUGAGUCUGUUCGGGGAAACUAGAACUCUCGGUGUAGGGGUGAAAUCCGUAGAUAUCGAGAGGAAUGCCAAUCGCGAAAGCAGGUUUCUAGGACAGCACUGACGCUCAGGGACGAAAGCUAGGGUAGCAAAAGGGAUUAGAGACCCCUGUAGUCCUAGCCGUAAACGAUGCUCGCUAGCUGGUCGAUCUUCGGAUUGACUGGCGCAAGCUAACGCGUUAAGCGAGCCGCCUGGGAAUUACGAUCGCAAGAUUAAAACUCAAAGGAAUUGGCGGGGGAGCGUACAACCGGUGGAGCAUGUGGUUUAAUUCGAUACAAAGCGAAAAACCUUACCUAGACUUGACAUGUACCUGCGAAGCUUGGGAUAACCAAGCCAUCCUUCGAGGGAGGUACACAGGUGAUGCAUGGCUAUUUGUAAUGGCCGCUUUGGUGGUAACAUCAAAGGCAAAAUCGGCUCAUAACGGUGAAACCCUCACGUGAUAAAAUUUAAAUAUCACGAAGGGCAAUACCGUGGGAAGUUCAAGUUUUACUAGUAAAUCACUAGAUCCAUAUAUAUUAGGUCUUUGGGGUGCUGAUGGCUAUCAUCGUACUAGCUCAAUUGGUCUAACUGCAAUUUAUCCAGAACUUAUCAAAAGGUUCUAUAACUUUCUAAUAGGAUUCUUUCCUUUAGAAAGGUUAAGAUUGCGGAUUUAUACCAACACAGGCGAGCCAAAACCCGUACCUCCAGUAAUGAACUGGUAUCAAGGCAAAAUAGCUUUUGCUAAAGGUUCAAAAUUAAGCAAACAAGCGUGGCAGCUAUAUAUUAAUAGCCGGCCACUACUGAGACAAUUCAGGAAAUCACUUGCUAAUCGCUUAAAUUUACCUAAAAAAGAUAUAUUGCACUAUUUAUCAGGUAGAUUUGAUGGUGAUGGCAGUAUUGCUAAAAAUCUGAAAAAUGAUUUUCGCAUCACUUAUAGCAAUCGCCGUGAAGCUGAGGUUGAUCAAAAACUUUUGACCAAAAUCAACUUUAAUCACACUAAUAUCUAUCGAUAUCAGCAAGCUGGAACGCACGUUAUAUAUGUAUCAACAAAGGAAAGCACUAAGCUAACUGGCUUAUUAAAGCCAAUGUCAGCUAAACUUUCUGGAAAACUUGUAACCCCGUAGAGACUUUCUCAUUUAUUGAGAGGAUGGUUGCUUAUUAACAAUCAUAAUACGCCGAUUAUCCACCUUAGUGAGGUGGAUAGUGGUAUAGUCCAUACGCUUAGAAAUAAGGGAGUAAUAUGGUCGUCAGCUCGUGUCGUGAGACGUCUGCUUAAGUGCAGUAACGAGCGCAACCCUUGUCGUCAGUUACAAGUGUCUGACGAGACUGCCCUUGCCAAGCAAGGGAGGAAGGAGAGGAUGACGUCAAGUCAGUAUGUUCCUUAUGUCUAGGGCAACACACAUCCUACAAUGGGGCCUACAACGGGUAGCGAAGAGGUAACUCGGAGCCAAUCCUAAUAAAAGGCCUCUCAGUUCGGAUUGAGGGCUGAAACUCGCCCUCAUGAAGAUGGAAUCGGUAGUAAUCGCGAAUCAUCAGGUCGCGGUGAAUACGUUCUCGCUCCUUGCACAAAUUAAUAUGCGCUUUCCGCAUAUAUAUUCUAGUUGGUUAAAAUCCAACUUAAUUGAUACAAGCAAUUAAAAGCAAAAUCACAGGCCUCUGAGAGUAAUCUCAAGGCUGAAGGGUGAAAUUAGCAGAUGUUAGCUUGAAGUCGAAACGGCUAUUUAUCUUGGUGAUCCAUCGUGCAGCUGGAGAAACCACUUGUAAAUUUGAGAUAAGUAGUAUUUGGGCUCGAGAUGACAUCGAAUAGAAAAUAUAUGUACGAAAGGAGAUCCUAAAUAUUCUAAAUUUCGUCACUAAAUUAGUAGCGAAAUCUAGUAUGAUAAAGGUAACAAUAUCAAAUAGUAUUUAGGAAGUCUGCAGAGGCCAUAGUACCACUUAGUGGGAAGGGCCAAACUUAACCUAAUGAAAUUACCUCCUGAUUAUGUGUGCGGAUUUGUUGAUGGUGAGGGAUGCUUUACCAUCGUCAUUUCUAAACACAAAACCAAGAAGCUUGGACUCGAUGCUCGACUUCACUUUGAAAUCGAGUUAAGAGCAGAUGACGAGGAAAUUCUCAAGAGUAUACAAGAAACUCUUGGAUGUGGUCGAAUUUAUCAUAUUAACUAUGAUAAAUACGGCUGGGCACCUCACGCUGAACUAAAAGUUUCUUCAAUUAAAGAUAUCAGGAAUAAGAUCAUACCUUUCUUUAAAAAGCAUAAAUUGCGGGCAAAGAAAAAACAUUCAUUUGAACUUUUUUGCCAAGCAGCUGAGCUAUUUUAUAGAAAGGAGCAUCUGACCAUGGAGGGAAUUGAAAAGCUAAAAGCGAUUAGAAAAAAUAUGAAUCGCUACAGCAAAAAAGGUUGAGGGUUCGCCACGGUGCGGGAAAACCGCGCGCCGGGCGGCGGGAGACAGAUUGUCAGUGAUGAAAUCAUGAUCUCAGAACACUGCCCGUCAAGCCAGCAAAGUCAGCAGCGCCCGAAGCGGGAGACCAUGACCCUUCCUUUUGGUUGGGAGUGGCCCUUCUACGGCGAGGUUGGCGAUGAGGACUAAGUCGUAACAAGGUAUCCGUACUGGAAGGUGCGGAUGGAUCACCUCCUUUCUA
This 2825-nucleotide ribosomal RNA is filed under the name Minisyncoccota bacterium. Lineage: Bacteria; Bacillati; Minisyncoccota. The record is from RNAcentral.